RNAcentral lists this ribosomal RNA (631 nucleotides) under Pseudoaliinostoc sp. BACA0068. RNAcentral describes it as "bacterial SSU rRNA". It matches the Rfam family "Bacterial small subunit ribosomal RNA", at positions 116 to 780 of the family's 1533-position model. The record is from RNAcentral. Lineage: Bacteria; Bacillati; Cyanobacteriota; Cyanophyceae; Nostocales; Nodulariaceae.
CGUGAGAAUCUGGCUUCAGGUCGGGGACAACAGUUGGAAACGACUGCUAAUACCGGAUGUGCCGAAAGGUGAAAGAUUAAUUGCCUGAAGAUGAGCUCGCGUCUGAUUAGCUAGUUGGUGUGGUAAGAGCGCACCAAGGCGACGAUCAGUAGCUGGUCUGAGAGGAUGAUCAGCCACACUGGGACUGAGACACGGCCCAGACUCCUACGGGAGGCAGCAGUGGGGAAUUUUCCGCAAUGGGCGAAAGCCUGACGGAGCAAUACCGCGUGAGGGAGGAAGGCUCUUGGGUUGUAAACCUCUUUUCUCAGGGAAUAAAAAAAUGAAGGUACCUGAGGAAUAAGCAUCGGCUAACUCCGUGCCAGCAGCCGCGGUAAUACGGAGGAUGCAAGCGUUAUCCGGAAUGAUUGGGCGUAAAGGGUCCGCAGGUGGCAGUGUAAGUCUGCUGUCAAAGAAUGAGGCUUAACCUCAUCAAGGCAGUGGAAACUACACAGCUAGAGUACGGUCGGGGUAGAAGGAAUUCCUGGUGUAGCGGUGAAAUGCGUAGAGAUCAGGAAGAACACCGGUGGCGAAAGCGUUCUGCUAGACCUGUACUGACACUGAGGGACGAAAGCUAGGGGAGCGAAUGGGAUUA